UACUUGUAAUUCAGGAGGGUUACUCGGGUUUCUCCAGCUGCCAAGGAUGUCACAGAUGUGAAUGCAGGCCAGCUUCUCUUCGUCCCACCUGCCAUUCUCUCACUCACAGCUGUUUGUGCCGCCCGGGCGCCGGAGGUCGUUACUGUGAGAGGUGCCUCCCAGGCUUUUGGGACUAUAGUGCCUCUGGCUGCAAGAAGUGUGACUGUGAGAGCGGUCAUUGUGAUAUGCAAACAGGAGAGUGCCUACCAGAGCCUGCAACGGUUAACCUGUGCAAUAUCAGUUGUGAUGAAUGUAUUUGGCAUGUUAUCGGAGACCUGCGGCUGUCCAACAAAACGCUGGACCAUUUGAGGGUUGGAGUGUUGAACAUUUCGACUGGGGCUGCUGUGAAUGACAGAGUCAAAUACUAUAA
This is a long non-coding RNA of Hippocampus comes (tiger tail seahorse), 409 nucleotides long. RefSeq lists it as uncharacterized. NCBI's taxonomy places the organism in Eukaryota, Metazoa, Chordata, Actinopteri, Syngnathiformes, Syngnathidae. The record is from RefSeq and is a predicted model, not a curated record. The transcript is spliced from 3 exons.